CCUACGGGUGGCUGCAGUGGGGAAUAUUGGACAAUGGGCGAAAGCCUGAUCCAGCCAUGCCGCGUGUGUGAAGAAGGCCUUCGGGUUGUAAAGCACUUUCAGUGGGGAAGAAAGCCUUGGGGCUAAUACCCUCGAGGAAGGACAUCACCCACAGAAGAAGCACCGGCUAACUCCGUGCCAGCAGCCGCGGUAAUACGGAGGGUGCGAGCGUUAAUCGGAAUUACUGGGCGUAAAGCGCGCGUAGGCGGUCUGAUAAGCCGGUUGUGAAAGCCCCGGGCUCAACCUGGGAACGGCAUCCGGAGUGGUCAGGUGAAAGGGAAGGGAGGAAGGGUAACUUCCCCGGGCGAGCGUUAAAUGGGGAAGAGACCGGGAGGAAGAGGAGGGGAGAGGGGGGCCUACGGGACGGAAACGCCCGUGGGGGGGCGAAGGUGUGGAAAGAAACAAGGAUAAGAGACCCCAUAGUUG
RNAcentral lists this ribosomal RNA (465 nucleotides) under Vreelandella stevensii. RNAcentral describes it as "partial 16S ribosomal RNA". It matches the Rfam family "Bacterial small subunit ribosomal RNA", at positions 338 to 795 of the family's 1533-position model. Lineage: Bacteria; Pseudomonadati; Pseudomonadota; Gammaproteobacteria; Oceanospirillales; Halomonadaceae. The record is from RNAcentral.